AACGAACGCUGGCGGCAUGCCUAACACAUGCAAGUCGAACGGUGUUCCCGCUUCGGCGGGGGCAUAGUGGCGCACGGGUGAGUAACGCGUGGGAACCUGCCCCGUGGUACGGAGCAACUCCGGGAAACUGGAGCUAAUACCGUAUGUGUCCCCUGGGACAAAGAUUGCAUCGCCAUGGGAGGGGCCCGCGUAGGAUUAGGUAGUUGGCGGGGUAACGGCCCACCAAGCCCGCGAUCCUUAGCUGGUCUGAGAGGAUGAUCAGCCACACUGGGACUGAGACACGGCCCAGACUCCUACGGGAGGCAGCAGUGGGGAAUAUUGGACGAUGGGCGCAAGCCUGAUCCAGCAAUGCCGCGUGAGUGAUGAAGGCCUUCGGGUUGUAAAGCUCUUUCGCACGCGACGAUGAUGACGGUAGCGUGAGAAGAAGCCCCGGCUAACUUCGUGCCAGCCGCCGCCGUAA
Molecule: ribosomal RNA, 460 nt
Filed under: uncultured bacterium
Lineage: Bacteria
Description: partial 16S ribosomal RNA
Rfam family: Bacterial small subunit ribosomal RNA
Source: RNAcentral